This is a non-coding RNA of Talpa occidentalis (Iberian mole), 1568 nucleotides long. The record is from the annotation of a RefSeq genome assembly. Lineage: Eukaryota; Metazoa; Chordata; Mammalia; Eulipotyphla; Talpidae.
GGCAAGGGGACCAUGGUCACCGUGUCCUCAGAGAACCCUGCUGCCCCGAGUCUCUUCCCCCUGGUGUCCUGUGACGGCCUCGUGUCUGAGAACAGCCGGGUGGCCAUGGGCUGCUUGGCCCGCGACUUCAUGCCCAGCUCCAUCACCUUCUCCUGGAGCUUCAAGAACAGCUCCGCGGUGAGCAGCCAGGGCGUGAGGACCUACCCCACGCUGCAGAGCGGGAACAAGUACGUGGCCUCCUCCCAGCUGCUGCUGUCCUCCCAGGACCUGCUGCAGAGCAAGGACGACCAUGUGGUGUGCCGGGCCCAGCACCCCAAGGGCAACCGCAGCGUGAAGGUGGCCUACCCCGAGCAAACAGCACCGCAGAGCCCCAAAGUGGACGUCUACAUCCCGCCCCGCGACGCCUUCUCCAGCAACGGCACCAGCCCGCGCAUGUCCCAGCUGGUCUGCCAGGCCGCGGGCUUCAGCCCCAGGAAGGUGGCCGUGUCCUGGCUGCGGGAGGGGAAGCAGCUGCAGUCCGGCUUCACCACCGGCCCAGUGGAGGCCGAGCACCAGGGCUCGAGGCCCGCCACCUUCAGCGUCACCAGCAAGCUGACCAUCACAGAGAGCGACUGGCUCAACCUGGUCGUGUUCACCUGCCAGGUGGAGCACAACGGGCUGACCUUCCGCAAGAACGUGUCCUCCACGUGCACCACCGAACCAGCCAACAACAUUAGGGCCUUCCCCAUCGGCCCCUCCUUCGCCAGCAUCUUCCUCACCAAGUCUGCCAAGCUGACCUGCCUGGUCACAGACCUGCCCACCUAUGACAGCCUGAGCAUCAGCUGGACCCGCCAGAACGGCGAGAUUCUGACGACCCGCAUCAGCACCCCCACCAGCCACCCCAACGCCACCUUCACGGCCGAGGGCGAGGCCAGCGUGUGCGUGGAGGACUGGGAGUCGGGGGAGGAGUUCACGUGCACCGUGACCCACACGGACCUGCCCUCCCCGCUCAAGAAGGUCGUCUUCAAGACCAAGGAGGUGGCCAAGCACCCGCCCGCCGUGUACGUGCUGCCGCCGGCCCGGGAGCAGCUGGCCCUGCGGGACUCGGCCUCCGUCACCUGCCUGGUGACCGGCUUCUCGCCCGCCGACGUGUUUGUGAGGUGGCAGCACCGCGGGCAGCCCGUGUCUCCCGACAAGUUCGUGACCAGCGCCCCGACGCCCGAGCCCCAGGCCCCCGGCUUCUACUUCGCCCACAGCGUGCUGACCGUGAGCGAGGAGGACUGGAGCGCGGGCGAAGUCUUCACCUGCGUGGUGGCCCACGAGGCGCUGCCGCUCUCGGUCACCGAGAAGGCUGUGGACAAGUCCACCGAGGGGGAGGUGAGCGCCGAGGAGGAGGGCUUCGAGAACCUGUCGGCCAUGGCGUCCACCUUCGUGGUCCUCUUCCUGCUGAGCCUGUUCUACAGCACCACCGUCACGCUGUUCAAGGUGAAGUGACCAGGUGAAGAGCGUUGGCCCAGGGACAGAACCGCAGGGGCCCCAGGCUGCCCGCCCGCCAUCCACACCAGCACCCCGCCCCAGAAUAAACGUGU